GGUUUUCGGACCAAGAGACCGGCGCACGGGUGCGUAACGCGUAUGCAAUCUACCUUUUGCAGAGGGAUAGCCCAGAGAAAUUUGGAUUAAUACCUCAUAGUAUAGUGAGUUGGCAUCAACACACUAUUAAAGUCACAACGGCAAAAGAUGAGCAUGCGUCCCAUUAGCUAGAUGGUAAGGUAACGGCUUACCAUGGCAACGAUGGGUAGGGGUCCUGAGAGGGAGAUCCCCCACACUGGUACUGAGACACGGACCAGACUCCUACGGGAGGCAGCAGUGAGGAAUAUUGGUCAAUGGACGCAAGUCUGAACCAGCCAUGCCGCGUGCAGGAUGACGGUCCUAUGGAUUGUAAACUGCUUUUGUACAGGAAGAAACACUCCUUCGUGAAGGAACUUGACGGUACUGUAAGAAUAAGGAUCGGCUAACUCCGUGCCAGCAGCCGCGGUAAUACGGAGGAUCCAAGCGUUAUCCGGAAUCAUUGGGUUUAAAGGGUCCGUAGGCGGUUUAGUAAGUCAGUGGUGAAAGCCCAUCGCUCAGCGGUGGAACGGCCAUUGAUACUGCUAGACUUGAAUUAUUAGGAAGUAACUAGAAUAUGUAGUGUAGCGGUGAAAUGCUUAGAGAUUACAUGGAAUACCAAUUGCGAAGGCAGGUUACUACUGGUUGAUUGACGCUGAUGGACGAAAGCGUGGGUAGCGAACAGGAUUAGAUACCCUGGUAGUCCACGCCGUAAACGAUGGAUACUAGCUGUUGGGGGCAACUUCAGUGGCUAAGCGAAAGUGAUAAGUAUCCCACCUGGGGAGUACGGGCGCAAGCCU
RNAcentral lists this ribosomal RNA (815 nucleotides) under uncultured bacterium. Its description in RNAcentral is "bacterial SSU rRNA". It matches the Rfam family "Bacterial small subunit ribosomal RNA", at positions 75 to 895 of the family's 1533-position model. The record is from RNAcentral.